This 89-nucleotide ribosomal RNA is filed under the name Cephaloziella turneri. RNAcentral describes it as "partial 5.8S ribosomal RNA". It matches the Rfam family "5.8S ribosomal RNA", at positions 1 to 88 of the family's 154-position model. From Rfam's summary of the family: 5.8S ribosomal RNA (5.8S rRNA) is a component of the large subunit of the eukaryotic ribosome. It is transcribed by RNA polymerase I as part of the 45S precursor that also contains 18S and 28S rRNA. The record is from RNAcentral. Lineage: Eukaryota; Viridiplantae; Streptophyta; Jungermanniopsida; Jungermanniales; Cephaloziellaceae.
CGACUCCCAGCAACGGAUAUCUUGGCUCCUGCAACGAUGAAAAACGCAGCAAAAUGCGAUACCUAAUGUGAAUUGCAGAAUUCCGUGAA